Molecule: unclassified non-coding RNA, 295 nt
Filed under: Hevea brasiliensis (rubber tree)
Lineage: Eukaryota; Viridiplantae; Streptophyta; Magnoliopsida; Malpighiales; Euphorbiaceae
Source: RNAcentral
AAAUUUUUAUAAUGAACAGAGGCUCAAUUUGUAGGCUUCUACUCUAAGGCUUGCACAGUAAAGUUGUUUGCAAAAUUAGGAUGAAGAACUCUCUUAUUGUUUUCUUUUCAAUUUAAAGCCAUGUGUUCACUGUUGCUGCUUGCUGCACGCCUUCCCACAUUUUUAAUGAGAAGGUAAGGUCAUAAAUUUUAUGCGUUACAAAAAAAUUCACGGGAAGAAUGAGGCUCAAUUGAGUCAUUUUCUCCUAAUGCCCAAUUCUUUGCAUCAUUCUCAAUAAUGUGUUAUGCCCUUCAUA